GACGAACGCUGGCGGCGUGCUUAACACAUGCAAGUCGAACGGUGAAAGCGGAGCUUGCUCCGCUGGAUCAGUGGCGAACGGGUGAGUAACACGUGGGCAACCUGCCCUUCACCUCGGGAUAACUCCGGGAAACCGGGGCUAAUACCGGAUACGACCUCCUUGGGCAUCCUUGGAGGUGGAAAGUUCUUCGGUGAAGGAUGGGCCCGCGGCCUAUCAGCUUGUUGGUGAGGUAGUGGCUCACCAAGGCGAC
Molecule: ribosomal RNA, 250 nt
Filed under: uncultured bacterium
Lineage: Bacteria
Description: partial 16S ribosomal RNA
Rfam family: Bacterial small subunit ribosomal RNA
Source: RNAcentral